This is a microRNA precursor of Chlorocebus sabaeus (green monkey), 116 nucleotides long. The record is from Ensembl. NCBI's taxonomy places the organism in Eukaryota, Metazoa, Chordata, Mammalia, Primates, Cercopithecidae.
CAACCACAGCCACUACUACAGGCCCAUCGAGGACCUGCGGGACAAGAUUCUUGGUGCCACCAUUGAGAACUCCAGGAUUGUCCUACAGAUCGACAACACCCAUCUGGCUGCAGAUG